GACGUAGGUGGCGAACGUUAUCCGGAAUUAUUGGGCGUAAAGGGUGCGUAGAUGGUGUAGUAAGUUAUCGGUGGCAAAUCGAGGCUCAACCUCGUGGAAGUCGGUAAUACUGCUAUGCUAGAGGAUAGGAGAGGUUAACGGAACUCCCUGUGGAGCGGUGAAAUGCGUAGAUAUAGGGAAGAACACCAAUCAGGCGAGGGCAGUUAACUAUUCUAUUCCUGACAUUGAGGCAUGAAAGCGUGGGGAGCAAACAGG
RNAcentral lists this ribosomal RNA (255 nucleotides) under uncultured bacterium. Its description in RNAcentral is "partial 16S ribosomal RNA". It matches the Rfam family "Bacterial small subunit ribosomal RNA", at positions 524 to 776 of the family's 1533-position model. The record is from RNAcentral.